CACAAUUUCAGGAACAUGUGUGGACUUCUGUGCAGGUCUGGGAGAAAGUAUAAUGACUCAAACUGCCAGAAUCUGGGCCCGGCAAGUCCAAGAGUCAUGUUGAACUCAGUGCAUGAUGGGAAAUCUCCAGUAAGUUCCAUUGUGAGCGCGUCCCAGCAGUCCGCCUCUCAACUCUUUUGUACUAUAAAUAAUCAUCGUACAGGGAGAAAGCGACUGUUGUGUGUUCCUCUGCUGCAGCAGCCUGGAUGAAGACAACGUCUGGAAAAAUUGGGUCUGGACUUUCUGCAGAGUUUGUCGUUAACGCAUGACGAAAGCAGCGGGAGAUU
Long non-coding RNA from Solea solea (common sole), 326 nucleotides. RefSeq lists it as uncharacterized. The record is from RefSeq and is a predicted model, not a curated record. NCBI's taxonomy places the organism in Eukaryota, Metazoa, Chordata, Actinopteri, Pleuronectiformes, Soleidae. The transcript has 3 exons.